AAAUAAAGCCAUUUUGGGUACUGAAACCGAACUCCCAAAAGACAAAAACAAAAGAGCUGACUCUGUUAAUGAAUGGAAGUAACUGAAAUUAAAACUAUGGGAGGAACUGACAACUCUAUUACUACUACUAUUCCAAGAUUUGCCAAGAUCCAUGCUAUUGGAAGAACCCAAUUUCAGCAUCAGCUCAUAAAACCCACCUCUUUUUUGCAAUUUUUUUUUUAUACAAUUAACCCCUUUUGCUUUCUUCUUUUGUCACACAAAAAAAUGAAAGAAAAGGUAUGAAACUAUUGAAG
RNAcentral lists this unclassified non-coding RNA (293 nucleotides) under Hevea brasiliensis (rubber tree). The record is from RNAcentral. Lineage: Eukaryota; Viridiplantae; Streptophyta; Magnoliopsida; Malpighiales; Euphorbiaceae.